RNAcentral lists this ribosomal RNA (2365 nucleotides) under Salmonella enterica. Its description in RNAcentral is "partial 23S ribosomal RNA". It matches the Rfam family "Bacterial large subunit ribosomal RNA". RNAcentral also lists the same sequence under 1 other name. The record is from RNAcentral. Lineage: Bacteria; Pseudomonadati; Pseudomonadota; Gammaproteobacteria; Enterobacterales; Enterobacteriaceae.
AGCAUUUGCUGUACCGCGUUGACGGAGCGAAGCGACGUCAAACCGAUAAAACAGCAGUGUAAAGUGAGCCGCAGGGCGCUUUGCGCGACAGCGCAAAGGCAGGCGGUUUCGCGUAGCGAAAGCGAAUGCUUUGGGGUGGGGUGACUGCGUACCUUUUGUAUAAUGGGUCAGCGACUUAUAUUCUGUAGCAAGGUUAACCGAAUAGGGGAGCCGGAGGGAAACCGAGUCUUAAUUGGGCGUUAAGUUGCAGGGUAUAGACCCGAAACCCGGUGAUCUAGCCAUGGGCAGGUUGAAGGUUGGGUAACACUAACUGGAGGACCGAACCGACUAAUGUUGAAAAAUUAGCGGAUGACCUGUGGCUGGGGGUGAAAGGCCAAUCAAACCGGGAGAUAGCUGGUUCUCCCCGAAAGCUAUUUAGGUAGCGCCUCGUGAAUUCAUCUCCGGGGGUAGAGCACUGUUUCGGCUAGGGGGCCAUCCCGGCUUACCAACCCGAUGCAAACUGCGAAUACCGGAGAAUGUUAUCACGGGAGACACACGGCGGGUGCUAACGUCCGUCGUGAAGAGGGAAACAACCCAGACCGCCAGCUAAGGUCCCAAAGUCAUGGUUAAGUGGGAAACGAUGUGGGAAGGCCCAGACAGCCAGGAUGUUGGCUUAGAAGCAGCCAUCAUUUAAAGAAAGCGUAAUAGCUCACUGGUCGAGUCGGCCUGCGCGGAAGAUGUAACGGGGCUAAACCAUGCACCGAAGCUGCGGCAGCGACACUGUGUGUUGUUGGGUAGGGGAGCGUUCUGUAAGCCUGUGAAGGUGUGUCGUGAGGCAUGCUGGAGGUAUCAGAAGUGCGAAUGCUGACAUAAGUAACGAUAAAGCGGGUGAAAAGCCCGCUCGCCGGAAGACCAAGGGUUCCUGUCCAACGUUAAUCGGGGCAGGGUGAGUCGACCCCUAAGGCGAGGCCGAAAGGCGUAGUCGAUGGGAAACGGGUUAAUAUUCCCGUACUUGGUGUUACUGCGAAGGGGGGACGGAGAAGGCUAUGUUGGCCGGGCGACGGUUGUCCCGGUUUAAGCGUGUAGGUGUGUGUUCCAGGUAAAUCCGGUUCACUUUAACACUGAGGCGUGACGACGAGGCACUACGGUGCUGAAGCAACAAAUGCCCUGCUUCCAGGAAAAGCCUCUAAGCAUCAGGUAACAUCAAAUCGUACCCCAAACCGACACAGGUGGUCAGGUAGAGAAUACCAAGGCGCUUGAGAGAACUCGGGUGAAGGAACUAGGCAAAAUGGUGCCGUAACUUCGGGAGAAGGCACGCUGACACGUAGGUGAAGUGAUUUACUCAUGGAGCUGAAGUCAGUCGAAGAUACCAGCUGGCUGCAACUGUUUAUUAAAAACACAGCACUGUGCAAACACGAAAGUGGACGUAUACGGUGUGACGCCUGCCCGGUGCCGGAAGGUUAAUUGAUGGGGUCAGCGCAAGCGAAGCUCCUGAUCGAAGCCCCGGUAAACGGCGGCCGUAACUAUAACGGUCCUAAGGUAGCGAAAUUCCUUGUCGGGUAAGUUCCGACCUGCACGAAUGGCGUAAUGAUGGCCAGGCUGUCUCCACCCGAGACUCAGUGAAAUUGAACUCGCUGUGAAGAUGCAGUGUACCCGCGGCAAGACGGAAAGACCCCGUGAACCUUUACUAUAGCUUGACACUGAACAUUGAGCCUUGAUGUGUAGGAUAGGUGGGAGGCUUUGAAGUGUGGACGCCAGUCUGCAUGGAGCCGACCUUGAAAUACCACCCUUUAAUGUUUGAUGUUCUAACGUGGACCCGUUACCCGGGUUGCGGACAGUGUCUGGUGGGUAGUUUGACUGGGGCGGUCUCCUCCUAAAGAGUAACGGAGGAGCACGAAGGUUGGCUAAUCCUGGUCGGACAUCAGGAGGUUAGUGCAAUGGCAUAAGCCAGCUUGACUGCGAGCGUGACGGCGCGAGCAGGUGCGAAAGCAGGUCAUAGUGAUCCGGUGGUUCUGAAUGGAAGGGCCAUCGCUCAACGGAUAAAAGGUACUCCGGGGAUAACAGGCUGAUACCGCCCAAGAGUUCAUAUCGACGGCGGUGUUUGGCACCUCGAUGUCGGCUCAUCACAUCCUGGGGCUGAAGUAGGUCCCAAGGGUAUGGCUGUUCGCCAUUUAAAGUGGUACGCGAGCUGGGUUUAGAACGUCGUGAGACAGUUCGGUCCCUAUCUGCCGUGGGCGCUGGAGAACUGAGGGGGGCUGCUCCUAGUACGAGAGGACCGGAGUGGACGCAUCACUGGUGUUCGGGUUGUCAUGCCAAUGGCACUGCCCGGUAGCUAAAUGCGGAAGAGAUAAGUGCUGAAAGCAUCUAAGCACGAAACUUGCCCCGA